CUUCUCUGUUUCCAUCUUCAUCAUGGAUGAUCACUGCUGUUAAAGGUGCAGAGAUGCAAGAGAAAGGGAUUGUGGGACAGAGGAAUACAAACCAUCUGCUGCCUCUGACAGGAAGACACAAAAUACCUAAUUCUGUUAAUUUAAAACCAGGAUCUCAGAGUGUCUGUGAUAAAACUUGUCACAGCAUUAUUAAGUCUCACCCACCACAACCAGCAAAGGAAUGGCAAUCAAUGACCCUUGCCAUAAGGGCUGAGGUGAAUCCUGUCAAACAUGCAUGCGUGGCAUACAAAUCCACAGA
Long non-coding RNA from Cyprinus carpio (common carp), 298 nucleotides. RefSeq lists it as uncharacterized. The transcript has 3 exons. The record is from RefSeq and is a predicted model, not a curated record. NCBI's taxonomy places the organism in Eukaryota, Metazoa, Chordata, Actinopteri, Cypriniformes, Cyprinidae.